Molecule: ribosomal RNA, 165 nt
Filed under: uncultured Glomeromycotina
Lineage: Eukaryota; Fungi; Glomeromycota
Description: partial 18S ribosomal RNA
Rfam family: Eukaryotic small subunit ribosomal RNA
Source: RNAcentral
UCUUGGAUUAUUGAAGACUAACUACUGCGAAAGCAUUUGCCAAGGGAUGUUUUCNCCCUUUAAGAACGAAAGUUAGGGGAUCGAAGACGAUCAGAUACCNCUUGUAGUCUUAACCAUAAACUAUGCCGACUAGGGAUCGGAUGAUGUUAAUUUUUUAAUGACUCA